RNAcentral lists this ribosomal RNA (783 nucleotides) under uncultured Acidobacteriota bacterium. RNAcentral describes it as "bacterial SSU rRNA". It matches the Rfam family "Bacterial small subunit ribosomal RNA", at positions 61 to 875 of the family's 1533-position model. Lineage: Bacteria; Pseudomonadati; Acidobacteriota. The record is from RNAcentral.
GUCGCACGAGAAAGGGGAGCAAUCCCUGAGUAAAGUGGCGCACGGGUGAGUAACACGUGAAUCAUCUACCUCCGAGUGGGGAAUAACCUAGAGAAAUCUGGGCUAAUACCGCAUAACACUUACGAGUCAAAGCAGCAAUGCGCUUGGAGAGGAGUUCGCGGCCGAUUAGCUAGUUGGCGGGGUAAUGGCCCACCAAGGCGAUGAUCGGUAUCCGGCCUGAGAGGGCGCGCGGACACACUGGAACUGAAACACGGUCCAGACUCCUACGGGAGGCAGCAGUGGGGAAUUUUGCGCAAUGGGGGAAACCCUGACGCAGCAACGCCGCGUGGAGGAUGAAAUAUCUUGGUAUGUAAACUCCUUUCGAUGGGGAAGAUUAUGACGGUACCCAUAGAAGAAGCCCCGGCUAACUUCGUGCCAGCAGCCGCGGUAAUACGAGGGGGGCAAGCGUUGUUCGGAUUUAUUGGGCGUAGAGGGUGCGUAGGCGGUUUGGCAAGUCUUAUGUGAAAUCUUCAGGCUCAACCCGAAGCCUGCAUAAGAAACUGCCGGGCUUGAGUAUGGGAGAGGUGAGUGGAAUUUCCGGUGUAGCGGUGAAAUGCGUAGAUAUCGGAAGGAACACCUGUGGCGAAAGCGGCUCACUGGACCAUAACUGACGCUGAUGCACGAAAGCUAGGGGAGCAAACAGGAUUAGAUACCCUGGUAGUCCUAGCCCUAAACGAUGAUUGUUUGAUGUGGCAGGUACCCAAUCCUGCCGUGUCGAAGCUAACGCGAUAAACAAUCCGCCUG